UUCCCGAGUCCCGGCCCGGACAGCACGCGCCGAGCGCCCAGCCGCCGCCCUCUCCCCUUUCCCCGCCCUCCCGCCCGCGCCUCUCCGCCCGCCUGCCCUCGUGGUCCCCGCUCUCCGCUGCCCUCGGGAUGCACUCGCCCCGCAGCGCGCCAGCCUCCUGGGGUCAGGUGCUUCCCCCCGAGGUUCGAGUCCCCGCUGGCCCUGGACCCCUCGCGUCACUGCCCCAGGCGCCAACGUGCCACGUAAAGGCUCCACGCUCCGCUGCCGCGGGGCCGCACGCACCACGCGCCCGGUCUUGUGCUUCUCCCUGGAGGUCCGAGUGCGCCGUUGCCCUUGGGCCCCUCGUGCCACUGCGGGCCAGGGACUGCACGCGCCUUGCGGCGUCAACUUCUUAGGGACAGCACGUGCCGCGCCAGGUGCCUUUCCCUCCAAGGCCCUGUGCGCCACCAGCCCGGAGUCCGCGUGGCCCAGCUGCCAGCACCCCCAGCCGACGCGGGGCACUCGGACCGGGUCCUGGGGUCCCGAGCCGGCUGAGAGCGACGCCUCACCUCGGAACUGGAUCAGCUGGGCCUUAUGCGCCCCUCCGUGGAGGCGCUGUCCCCAUCAGAACGCUGUGAGUCGGAGGCAGAUGUUGGGGUGACCUGUGGACAGAGGACCCGAGACACUGGUGGAGACCAUGAGUGUGAUAAACGCCAAGGAGCAACGUAUAGCCUGUGAGAAUGGCAGACACGUCGCUGGAGGAGGGCGGAGACGGUACCACGUUCUGCUGGCUCCAUGGACUGACUUACCCAGAGCCCGACUGACAGAUACUGACUGGAAGCCGGGCCACUGUCUGCAGAUGGCUUAGUACAGCAGAUGGAUGCAGGACCUGUAAGAAGGAAAGUUGUUUCCGGUGUCCCCAAAACCAUGUUCUCCAAGGCACGUCCAUCGUGGGCUCUUCUCCAUCCUUCCAUCCGCUCAGACACCAGCUGCCUUUGUUUUCAUUCGUUAAUUUCAUGUAUCCCCCAGACAUGGGGGGUUUGAUGCCUAUGCUGUGUCAGGUGCAAAUGGAUGAACACGCACCUGAUAUUCUACAUGAAUGCAUUCAGUCUUCACCACAGCACUGUGACGAAGGUACACUGCUCCCAUUUUACCGACGUGGAAUCUAAGACUCUGAGAAAUAAAAGAGACAGAGAUCACCAGAUUUAAGUGGUGGAGCUUGGAUGAACCCUCUUUUUCUCCAAUUGUCUUACACAUGCAUCUUAUCUACCAGCUAUUAUAGCAGUUUCUGGAAAAGCAGGAGUUGGUGUCUUGUAUUUUGAGGGAAAGACGUAGUGAGGCCCCCAGUGGGCUCUCAGGAAUAAACAACUAAAACCUCA
Molecule: long non-coding RNA, 1358 nt
Organism: Orcinus orca (killer whale)
Lineage: Eukaryota; Metazoa; Chordata; Mammalia; Artiodactyla; Delphinidae
Exons: 4
Source: RefSeq, a predicted model, not a curated record